This 253-nucleotide ribosomal RNA is filed under the name uncultured bacterium. RNAcentral's name for it is "partial 16S ribosomal RNA". It matches the Rfam family "Bacterial small subunit ribosomal RNA", at positions 524 to 776 of the family's 1533-position model. The record is from RNAcentral.
UACGUAGUGACCAAGCGUUGUUCGGAUUUACUGGGCGUAAAGGGCGCGUAGGCGGCGCGGUAAGUCACUUGUGAAAUCUCUGAGCUUAACUCAGAACGGCCAAGUGAUACUGCAGUGCUAGAGUGUGGAAGGGGCAAUCGGAAUUCUUGGUGUAGCGGUGAAAUGCGUAGAUAUCAAGAGGAACACCUGAGGUGAAGACGGGUUGCUGGGCCAACACUGACGCUGAGGCGCGAAAGCCAGGGGAGCAAACGGG